UACGUAGGUGGCGAGCGUUGUCCGGAAUCAUUGGGCGUAAAGCGCGCGUAGGUGGCCACAUAAGUCCGUUGUGAAAGUCAAAGGCUCAACCUUUGAAAGCCGAUGGAUACUGUGUGGCUAGAGUACGGAAGAGGCGAGUGGAAUUCCUGGUGUAGCGGUGGAAUGCGCAGAUAUCAGGAGGAACACCAAUAGCGAAGGCAGCUCGCUGGGACGUUACUGACACUGAGGCGCGAAAGCGUGGGGAGCGAACAGG
Molecule: ribosomal RNA, 253 nt
Filed under: uncultured bacterium
Lineage: Bacteria
Description: partial 16S ribosomal RNA
Rfam family: Bacterial small subunit ribosomal RNA
Source: RNAcentral